GAAUAAGCAAACAUUAAUAUUCAUAAAUUUUAUUUCUUUAUAAGCGAGCACUCAAGUCGUCUAGUAUCAUUUUAAGUAACGCGUGAACAUCAAGGAUGAAAAAAAUUAUUGCAGUUUUCCUAAUGUUACAACUAGUUUUUGGGUUACUUGCAGAAGACCCAUGUGCUAGCAUAAGAUGUAAAAGCCCUUUGGUCUGCAAAACAGGUACAAAUCCAUGCAUAGACAAGUGUGGAAUUAGAUCUUGCACCAAAGAAGCUCUUAUUGGAUGCUAUUGUCCAGAUGGAUACUGUCGCAGCCCUAACGGAAUAUGUGUUAAUGAAACGUAAAAAUAUCUUAAUUUCAAAAAGUAAUUAAAUUAGAUUAUAUGAUUAAGGUAUAUGCUUUCUCAUUUAUUUUGUUGUUCUAGUGUUAUAAAUUAGGUUAGGUGAGUCGAUGUACCUCACAGUUAAGCAAAAGUAUAAAAGAGUAAUGUUUUUUUAUAGAACACUAUUUAUGCUUUAAUUCUUGCUUUAUUGUACUAUGUGCAAAUCUUUUAAGUUACAAAAUUAACACAAAUUCAAGCACGGGUAUAUGUGGAACUAGUUUUUGUAACUAAGCAGCUGUUAUCGGAUGCUAUUGUGCAAAUAAAUCUUGUUGCAGAUCUAGCACACCUGUAUUGUUGAAACUAAAUAAAUUAAACAAUUUCAUUUAAGACAAUUUGUUGCAUAAAAUAUAUUUAACAAAUAUGUAACUGCUAUUAUAUAAUUUAAAAAAUGUAAAUUGAUAACUUUCUACUCAAUAUAAAACCAGCAUCUUUUAA
Molecule: long non-coding RNA, 799 nt
Organism: Anthonomus grandis grandis
Lineage: Eukaryota; Metazoa; Arthropoda; Insecta; Coleoptera; Curculionidae
Exons: 2
Source: RefSeq, a predicted model, not a curated record